UACGAAGGGUGCUAGCGUUGUUCGGAAUCACUGGGCGUAAAGCGCGCGUAGGCGGCUAUGCAAGUCAGAGGUGAAAUACCCAGGCUCAACCUGGGAACUGCCUUUGAAACUGCAUAGCUAGAGUACUGGAGGGGUUGGCGGAAUUGCUAAUGUAGAGGUGAAAUUCGUAGAUAUUAGCAGGAACACCGGUGGCGAAGGCGGCCAACUGGACAGUCACUGACGCUGAGGCGCGAAAGCGUGGGGAUCAAACAGG
RNAcentral lists this ribosomal RNA (253 nucleotides) under uncultured bacterium. RNAcentral describes it as "partial 16S ribosomal RNA". It matches the Rfam family "Bacterial small subunit ribosomal RNA", at positions 524 to 776 of the family's 1533-position model. The record is from RNAcentral.